AGAGUUUGAUCAUGGCUCAGGACGAACGCUGGCGGCGUGCCUAAUACAUGCAGGUCGAGCGAGCGGAACUAACAGAUUUACUUCUGUAAUGACGUUAGGAAAGCGAGCGGCGGAUGGGUGAGUAACACGUGGGGAACCUGCCCCAUAGUCUGGGAUACCACUUGGAAACAGGUGCUAAUACCGGAUAAGAAAGCAGAUCGCAUGAUCAGCUUUUAAAAGGCGGCGUAAGCUGUCGCUAUGGGAUGGCCCCGCGGUGCAUUAGCUAGUUGGUAAGGUAAAGGCUUACCAAGGCGAUGAUGCAUAGCCGAGUUGAGAGACUGAUCGGCCACAUUGGGACUGAGACACGGCCCAAACUCCUACGGGAGGCAGCAGUAGGGAAUCUUCCACAAUGGACGCAAGUCUGAUGGAGCAACGCCGCGUGAGUGAAGAAGGUUUUCGGAUCGUAAAGCUCUGUUGUUGGUGAAGAAGGAUAGAGGUAGUAACUGGCCUUUAUUUGACGGUAAUCAACCAGAAAGUCACGGCUAACUACGUGCCAGCAGCCGCGGUAAUACGUAGGUGGCAAGCGUUGUCCGGAUUUAUUGGGCGUAAAGCGAGCGCAGGCGGAAGAAUAAGUCUGAUGUGAAAGCCCUCGGCUUAACCGAGGAACUGCAUCGGAAACUGUUUUUCUUGAGUGCAGAAGAGGAGAGUGGAACUCCAUGUGUAGCGGUGGAAUGCGUAGAUAUAUGGAAGAACACCAGUGGCGAAGGCGGCUCUCUGGUCUGCAACUGACGCUGAGGCUCGAAAGCAUGGGUAGCGAACAGGAUUAGAUACCCUGGUAGUCCAUGCCGUAAACGAUGAGUGCUAAGUGUUGGGAGGUUUCCGCCUCUCAGUGCUGCAGCUAACGCAUUAAGCACUCCGCCUGGGGAGUACGACCGCAAGGUUGAAACUCAAAGGAAUUGACGGGGGCCCGCACAAGCGGUGGAGCAUGUGGUUUAAUUCGAAGCAACGCGAAGAACCUUACCAGGUCUUGACAUCUAGUGCCAUUUGUAGAGAUACAAAGUUCCCUUCGGGGACGCUAAGACAGGUGGUGCAUGGCUGUCGUCAGCUCGUGUCGUGAGAUGUUGGGUUAAGUCCCGCAACGAGCGCAACCCUUGUUAUUAGUUGCCAGCAUUAAGUUGGGCACUCUAAUGAGACUGCCGGUGACAAACCGGAGGAAGGUGGGGAUGACGUCAAGUCAUCAUGCCCCUUAUGACCUGGGCUACACACGUGCUACAAUGGGCAGUACAACGAGAAGCGAGCCUGCGAAGGCAAGCGAAUCUCUGAAAGCUGUUCUCAGUUCGGACUGCAGUCUGCAACUUGACUGCACGAAGCUGGAAUCGCUAGUAAUCGCGGAUCAGCACGCCGCGGUGAAUACGUUCCCGGGCCUUGUACACACCGCCCGUCACACCAUGGGAGUCUGCAAUGCCCAAAGCCGGUGGCCUAACCUUCGGGAAGGAGCCGUCUAAGGCAGGGCAGAUGACUGGGGUGAAGUCGUAACAAGGUAGCCGUAGGAGAACCUGCGGCUGGAUCACCUCCUU
RNAcentral lists this ribosomal RNA (1556 nucleotides) under uncultured bacterium. RNAcentral's name for it is "bacterial SSU rRNA". It matches the Rfam family "Bacterial small subunit ribosomal RNA". The record is from RNAcentral.